GAAAGCAAUCCUUCUUUUGCUGCCCAGACCACUUCAUAAAGAAGAUACAGAUCUUCCCCUUGUCUGUUAUUCAGCACAUCUUCAACAGCUGAAGGAGGCCUUGGUGCCACGUAAGCAAAGAGCAGGAAAGCUCAUGCACAAGGUCCCUCCAUGCCACAUCACUCUGUCAUGAGAGAACUUUGGCAGGAGCAAGGCAUUAAAUGGUUUGUACAAGGCUGCCUUUAUGCAUUCGCAGGUGUCUAAGUUGAGGUAUGCAGGGAAUUUCAUAGACCAGCCUGGAUCUUGUUUUCAGUCACAUAUCAAAAUGCGUGCCAUGCCUACUUAGCAUGAAAAACAUGCCAAACAUGGAAGCAAUGAAAGUCUGAAUAGGAGAAUAUCACCUUUUAAAAACCAUUAAUAAAGUUUUCAAAAAUAAAAAUAAGUAGAAUUCAUUACCCUAAAAUGUAGCCUUUAAUCUUUUCAAGGCUGGCAUGAGCCCUAACCAUAGGUUUUGGAGUAAUUAAAUGAUCAUAUAAUACUAAAAUGAUUAUGUGGGCUUUCACAACCAAAUUUUAGACCUGUUGGGCUUUUCAGUAUGAUCUAAUGGCUGGUGCACAGAAGCUGUUGUUAAGACUCCCAGGCUCUGUUUCUCCUUUCUGCCAAGAUUUACAGCUAAUGAGAUGCUAUUUUCUGCACUGCCUGGCUAGUGCAAAACUGUAUUUGUUAAGGGUUGUUUUUAUGAGCUAAGAUUUACAGUUUCUAACGAUCACAUGCAAAGUAAACCUUUUAUUUACUUAACCACUAUGAAAAACUGCAUGUAACAAAAUCAUCAUAUAAUUCUUGCUGCAGAAACAUAGCUGCUUUACGGCCACUGUGAUUUUUUUAGACUUAUACAAAGAACCAAAUCUUGUCACCUUUGCUUAUGCUGAGUGGAAUCUUUGCAAGCAGUCCUGUAGAGAUGAUUUUUCAGUUUCAUGAAUAAUUUUCUGAGACUUUGGUGGAAAAGAAGUCUGAAAACUGAAAAAAGUGGAAUGAACAACAUUUUCAGAGCCAAGGAGCAAAUUGGUCUUUUCUGUUCAGACCAUUGUUUGGAUUUGGGCGUAUCCCAAACAACUGCAGCCACUCGAACCAAGGGAAGAGGACCCCUACCAGGUGGAUUCCCAAAGGAAAUGUGGUGGAGUUCCCAGGCCACCACAAAGAAGAGGUCUGCUGCUCCUGUUGCCCCUAAAUGUGUACUCAAGACACUUGUCUUCUUUUCUGUUCAUGUCGUGUUUCACUUGACUCCCAGGCAGCCAUGGAAAGGUUUUUCCAAAUGCAUACUCUCCUCACAGAUAUGA
RNAcentral lists this long non-coding RNA (1316 nucleotides) under Anas platyrhynchos platyrhynchos (common mallard). RNAcentral describes it as "lncRNA (ENSAPLG00000019818.1)". Lineage: Eukaryota; Metazoa; Chordata; Aves; Anseriformes; Anatidae. The record is from RNAcentral.